GUCUACUGCCAUAUCACCCUGAAUGUGCCCAAUCUCAUGUGCUCUCGAAGCUAAGCAGGGUCGGGCCUGGUUAGUAUUUGGAUAGGAGACUAGACAGAACUUUGAAGAUU
Molecule: ribosomal RNA, 110 nt
Filed under: Octodon degus (degu)
Lineage: Eukaryota; Metazoa; Chordata; Mammalia; Rodentia; Octodontidae
Source: RNAcentral